GUUGAGGUGGCAGAGCACGGCAUAUUGCAAAAGGCCUAAGCCCUUUGAACAGGGGUUCAAGUCCCCUCCCCAACU
RNAcentral lists this transfer RNA (75 nucleotides) under Halichoeres trimaculatus (threespot wrasse). Its description in RNAcentral is "tRNA-Leu". It matches the Rfam family "tRNA". From Rfam's summary of the family: Transfer RNA (tRNA) molecules are approximately 80 nucleotides in length. Their secondary structure includes four short double-helical elements and three loops (D, anti-codon, and T loops). Further hydrogen bonds mediate the characteristic L-shaped molecular structure. tRNAs have two regions of fundamental functional importance: the anti-codon, which is responsible for specific mRNA codon recognition, and the 3' end, to which the tRNAs corresponding amino acid is attached (by aminoacyl-tRNA synthetases). tRNAs cope with the degeneracy of the genetic code in two manners: having more than one tRNA (with a specific anti-codon) for a particular amino acid; and 'wobble' base-pairing, i.e. permitting non-standard base-pairing at the 3rd anti-codon position. Lineage: Eukaryota; Metazoa; Chordata; Actinopteri; Labriformes; Labridae. The record is from RNAcentral.